This 344-nucleotide long non-coding RNA is filed under the name Cyanistes caeruleus (blue tit). Its description in RNAcentral is "lncRNA (ENSCCEG00000016476.1)". The record is from RNAcentral. Lineage: Eukaryota; Metazoa; Chordata; Aves; Passeriformes; Paridae.
GUUCAGUUGCUCCUAAACUGCCUUUGUGCUGGGCUCUCAGAUAAACAGGACAAGGAGUAGCAUCACCUGUGCUGUUCUUGCCUUUUGGAGCAGGAAUGGUCAUCAAGAGCAGAAGGAAGAGCAGGAAUGUUAAACUGCCUCAAAGACCUCGACUGAACCUGGGAAAGGCUCCUGGAUUUUGGUGGUCCAUUAAGCCCUUAAAAACAUCUCCAUGUAAAUGGUGAGAAAAAUGAUAAACAUUCUCUAGUUGUCUAAAAAAAAUGCAAGAGAAAUAAGAAUGAGAUUUUCUAUCUGACUGCUGUUUUUACUUUUAUUCCCCCGUGCCUAUUUGGCUUAACAUCUUC